UUUUAAGUGUUCUUCAGUCCGACAAAUUUCUCCAUUCAUUAUCUGGAUGAAUAUUACUGAAUCUUCACAAUUGGGCUAGACCAAGAUUGUGGAUACCUCUUGGUGGAUACCUUCAUUGAGGGAACUGACACAUGAGCAUCCUCAAGCAGUUGGUCACCUUCCCACCUGAAAUCUAGGCCAUGCUCACUCUGAAGGAAUUGCCUGCACAUGUUGGUAGAGGACACAUUUUGUUCUUCUGCCAUGACUCAUACAGACUGGAAGAUGACAGGGUGAGAAACAUCAGACUAAGUGUGGUUUUAAAUGUUAUUCAUUUUAAAUUCCUUGGAAAAUCACUCUAUUCAUUAAAUAUGAAUGAUUUUCUAAUUAUCAAGUAAACAAUUUCUUUACCAG
This 390-nucleotide long non-coding RNA is filed under the name Cricetulus griseus (Chinese hamster). RNAcentral's name for it is "lncRNA (ENSCGRG00015031092.1)". The record is from RNAcentral. Lineage: Eukaryota; Metazoa; Chordata; Mammalia; Rodentia; Cricetidae.